Molecule: non-coding RNA, 913 nt
Organism: Chiloscyllium plagiosum (whitespotted bambooshark)
Lineage: Eukaryota; Metazoa; Chordata; Chondrichthyes; Orectolobiformes; Hemiscylliidae
Source: RefSeq, a predicted model, not a curated record
AAGUGCCUGAAAUGCACUACCAAAGGAGGUGGUGGAGGAGCUUACAAUCACAACAGAUAUGAAUAGGCAGGGAGAAGAGGCAUACGGACUGCACAGAAGCAAAAGAUUUUAGUUUAGAAAGGCAUUGUGUGUUGGCGCAGUCUUGGUUGGCUGAAGGUGCUUUACUGUCCUUUGUUCCUUGUUCAAUUUCUGCAUCACUGCUUUUUUGUUUAUGAAUUGAAUUUCUGAAGGACAUUAUAAUUUUUUCUGAAUGAAAGCUGUUUUAAUAAUAAUAACUUGGACCACAGCUUUCAAUUCUGUAGAGUUUAAAAUGCGUAUGAAAUUAGAACUUAUGUUCCAGUAACUUGUGAGAUGGGCAGUGGAUAUUAGCAUGGAGCCAAAUUUGUCCUUCUGUUCAAAAUACAUUUAGUAUUGUGUGAUAUCUUUCCAGAGCAGAAGAAAAGAAGAGCCUCCUCCUAUUUUUCAGAACUCUUUCAACCUUUGCAAAAUGGUAUGAGUUCCGCCAAAUUACUUUCAAACAUUUCAAGGAGCAGUACCCAAAGGUAGUCAGACUUCCAGAGGGACCAAACUCUGAAUAUAUGGUACUGGAAUGCUCCAAAGUUCCUGGGAUCGAGCUAAAGAUUUUCUGGAAAAUAUUUGUAAGUGAAGAAGGAGUUGUUAUUCCAGUGCUGGAUCUCUUACCAAAAAUACCUGUGGAGGCACUGGACUUCGACACAGAGAAAAUUGUGGACAACGCACCCAACAGUUUUAGAAAUCUUAUACGCUUGUUUGGAAUUGAGGCUGCUAUAGAUCACUUAAUUAAACUUAUGUGAAAGGAAGCUUAAUCUAUGUUUUUCACAAGAAAAUAGUGAUUUACAAUCCAGAAACAAAAGUUUUUUUUAUUCUGUCAAUAAAAUCUGCUUUCGUUACUACA